Molecule: ribosomal RNA, 253 nt
Filed under: uncultured bacterium
Lineage: Bacteria
Description: partial 16S ribosomal RNA
Rfam family: Bacterial small subunit ribosomal RNA
Source: RNAcentral
UACGUAGGGAGCAAGCGUUGUCCGGAAUCAUUGGGCGUAAAGCGCGCGUAGGUGGUCCCGUAAGUCCGCUGUGAAAGUCAAAGGCUCAACCUUUGAAAGCCGGUGGAUACUGUGGGACUAGAGUACGGAAGAGGCGAGUGGAAUUCCUGGUGUAGCGGUGGAAUGCGCAGAUAUCAGGAGGAACACCAAUAGCGAAGGCAGCUCGCUGGGACGUUACUGACACUGAGGCGCGAAAGCGUGGGGAGCAAACCGG